UACGUAGGUGGCGAGCGUUGUCUGGAUUUACUGGGUGUAAAGGGCGCGUAGGCGGGAUGGCAAGUCAGAUGUGAAAUGCACGGGCUCAACCCGUGAACUGCAUUUGAAACUGUCGUUCUUGAGUAUCGGAGAGGCGAGCGGAAUUCCUAGUGUAGCGGUGAAAUGCGUAGAUAUUAGAAGGAACACCAGUGGCGAAGGCGGCUUGCUGGACGACAACUGACGCUGAGGCGCGAAAGCGUGGGGAGCAAAC
This 250-nucleotide ribosomal RNA is filed under the name uncultured prokaryote. RNAcentral's name for it is "partial 16S ribosomal RNA". It matches the Rfam family "Bacterial small subunit ribosomal RNA", at positions 524 to 773 of the family's 1533-position model. The record is from RNAcentral.